AGGGUUUCACCGCGGACCCGCAAAUCCUUCGUGACCUCCCUCUGCUGUCGUCAACCAGUGGACUCGUCCCCCCCUUUCCUAUCUCGGCGACGACGCAGAUUUCCCCAGCAACUCGGAUUAUUCGUCUGAGGAUCCAAGAGCCACUUGAACCAAGAUGGACAAGUCCGGCAAAGUGAUUGCUAAGUGGGAUAGUAGAGCAACCAAAAUUUUCACAGAAAUUUGUGUAGAAGAGGUCAAUGCUCGCAACAGGCCACAA
Zea mays is the source of this 256-nucleotide long non-coding RNA. RefSeq lists it as uncharacterized. The transcript is spliced from 3 exons. The record is from RefSeq and is a predicted model, not a curated record. Lineage: Eukaryota; Viridiplantae; Streptophyta; Magnoliopsida; Poales; Poaceae.